RNAcentral lists this ribosomal RNA (1369 nucleotides) under Elateroidea sp. 4 KM-2017. RNAcentral's name for it is "16S ribosomal RNA". The stretch from base 1079 to 1237 matches the Rfam family "Archaeal large subunit ribosomal RNA", at positions 2542 to 2701 of the family's 2987-position model. The record is from RNAcentral. Lineage: Eukaryota; Metazoa; Arthropoda; Insecta; Coleoptera.
AUUAAAGAGAUUGUUGUGCAAUUCAAUAUAAUUUGAUUAUUGAUGGAAUUAUUAUUAUUUUUUUAUAAAAUUAUUUUUUAUUUUAUUAUUUUCAUAGAAAAGAUUUAUUUUAUUAUAGGUUAUUAGUAUAGUGGUAGAAAUUUGAUAUAAAAAUUAAGAUUUUUUAUAGAAUAAUUAAUUUUUAGUACCUUUUGUAUCAGGGUUGAUUAAAUAGAAGUUUUUAAUAAAAUUUUCUCGAAUUAAAAAGAUUUAAUUGGUUAUUUAUUUGUUUGUAAAAUAAAAUUUUAUAAUAAUUAGUUAGUAAUGAAAUGUUAUUCGUUUUUUAAUAUAUCUGGUUUUUCAAGAGAAGAAUUUAAUUCUAACGUUUGAUUUUAUUUUUUUGUUGGUAAAUUUAUAAUAUUUAGAUGGGGAAGAUCUAAUGGGAUGAGCUUUUGGAUUUAUUUUAAAAUAUUUUAAUUUUUUUAGAUAAUUUGUAUAAUUAAAAUUGUUAAUCUUUAUUAUAAUUUUAUAAUUUUUUAUUUUUAUUUAAGAUUUAUAUUUUAUUUAAGUUUUUUAUUGAAAUUUUAUUAGUAAUAUAAAUUAUUAAUUGAUAAUGAUUGAAUUAGUAAAUAUUUUUUGUGGGUUAUUAAUUUGCUGAAAGGUUUAUGGAAGGAAUUCGGCAAAAUUUAUUUUUCGCCUGUUUAUUAAAAACAUGUCCUUUUGAUUAUAAUUUAAGGUCUAAUCUGCUCAAUGAGAGGUUAAAUUGCCGCGGUAUUUUGACCGUGCAAAGGUAGCAUAAUAAUUAGUUUUUUUAUUGAAAGCUGGAAUGAAUGAUUGGACGAGAGAAUAGCUGUCUCCUUUAAAUUUUAUUUUGAAUUUUAUUUUUAAGUUAAAAAGCUUAUAUAUUUUUUAGUGACGAGAAGACCCUAUAGAUUUUUAUAAUUUUAAUAGUAUAGAUUAAUUUUUGGUAUUUAAUGUUUUUAUUAUUAAUUUAUUUAGUUGGGGUGACUUUGAGAUUUGAUAAACUCUUUUAAUUUUAAAUCAUUGAUUUAUGAAUAAGUAAUCUAGAGUUUCUAAAUUUAAGAAUAAUUACCUUAGGGAUAACAGCGUAAUUUCCUUUUAGAGUUCUUAUUGAUUUGGAAGUUUGCGACCUCGAUGUUGGAUUAAAAUAAAUUUUUGGUGCAGAAGCUGAAUAAUUUGGUCUGUUCGACCUUUAAAAUUUUACAUGAUCUGAGUUUAAACCGGUGUGAGCCAGGUUGGUUUCUAUCUUGAGAUAAGUUUUACGUUUUAGUACGAAAGGACCGGACGUUUUAUAUAAUAUUUUAUUUUUGAAUAAAAUUAUUACUUUGGCAGAUUAGUGCAAUUGAUUUAGAAUCAAUGAAUGUGAUUU